CCUUUUUCAUUUAAGCACAUAAAUAAGCGGAGGAAAAGAAACCAACAGGGAUUCCCUUAGUAGUGGCGAGUGAACCAGGAUGAACACAGUGCCAAAUUCUGCACCCUUUGAGUGUUGGAAAAUAUGGCGUAUAGGAGUGAGAGUUCUAGAGGUUGACUCUGCAACAAGUCCCCCUUACCAGGGCUGUUACUUAGAGCGUGUGCAAGGCCCACAGAUGCGAUCUCCUGAGAGUUGGGUGGUAAACUCCACCUAAGGCUAAAUAUUGCCGUGAGACCAAUAGCAAGCAAGUACCAUGAGG
This 298-nucleotide non-coding RNA is filed under the name Stegodyphus mimosarum. Its description in RNAcentral is "Eukaryotic large subunit ribosomal RNA". It matches the Rfam family "Eukaryotic large subunit ribosomal RNA", at positions 24 to 358 of the family's 3401-position model. Lineage: Eukaryota; Metazoa; Arthropoda; Arachnida; Araneae; Eresidae. The record is from Rfam by way of RNAcentral.